UGGGGAAUAUUGCACAAUGGGGGAAACCCUGAUGCAGCAACGCCGCGUGAAGGAUGACGGUUUUCGGAUUGUAAACUUCUUUUCUUAGUGACGAAGACAGUGACGGUAGCUAAGGAAUAAGCAUCGGCUAACUACGUGCCAGCAGCCGCGGUAAUACGUAGGAUGCAAGCGUUAUCCGGAUUUACUGGGUGUAAAGGGAGCGCAGGCGGGACUGCAAGUUGGAUGUGAAAUACCGUGGCUUAACCACGGAACUGCAUCCAAAACUGUAGUUCUUGAGUGAAGUAGAGGCAAGCGGAAUUCCGAGUGUAGCGGUGAAAUGCGUAGAUAUUCGGAGGAACACCAGUGGCGAAGGCGGCUUGCUGGGCUUUAACUGACGCUGAGGCUCGAAAGUGUGGGGAGCAAACAGG
This 407-nucleotide ribosomal RNA is filed under the name uncultured bacterium. RNAcentral describes it as "bacterial SSU rRNA". It matches the Rfam family "Bacterial small subunit ribosomal RNA", at positions 355 to 776 of the family's 1533-position model. RNAcentral also lists the same sequence under 3 other names. The record is from RNAcentral.